Molecule: ribosomal RNA, 417 nt
Filed under: uncultured bacterium
Lineage: Bacteria
Description: bacterial SSU rRNA
Rfam family: Bacterial small subunit ribosomal RNA
Source: RNAcentral
UAUUGGUCAAUGGCCGGAAGGCUGAACCAGCCAAGCCGCGUGAGGGAGGAAGGCGCAGAGCGUCGCAGACCUCUUUUGCCGGGGAGCAGGGCGGCGGACGUGUCCGCCGUUUGAGCGUACCCGGAGAAAAAGCAUCGGCUAACUCCGUGCCAGCAGCCGCGGUAAUACGGAGGAUGCGAGCGUUAUCCGGAUUUAUUGGGUUUAAAGGGUGCGUAGGCGGGCUUUUAAGUCAGCGGUAAAAAUUAGGGGCUCAACCCCGUCCGGCCGUUGAAACUGGGGGCCUUGAGUGGGCGAGAAGAAGGCGGAAUGCGUGGUGUAGCGGUGAAAUGCAUAGAUAUCACGCAGAUCCCCGAUUGCGAAGGCAGCCUUCCGGCGCCCUACUGACGCUGAGGCACGAAAGUGCGGGGAUCGAACAGG